This 451-nucleotide ribosomal RNA is filed under the name uncultured bacterium. RNAcentral's name for it is "partial 16S ribosomal RNA". It matches the Rfam family "Bacterial small subunit ribosomal RNA", at positions 354 to 796 of the family's 1533-position model. The record is from RNAcentral.
GUGGGGAAUAUUGGACAAUGGGGGGAACCCUGAUCCAGCCAUGCCGCGUGUGUGAAGAAGGCCUUUUGGUUGUAAAGCACUUUAAGCGAGGAGGAGGCUACCGAGAUUAAUACUCUUGGAUAGUGGACGUUACUCGCAGAAUAAGCACCGGCUAACUUCGUGCCAGCAGCCGCGGUAAUACGAAGGGUGCAAGCGUUAAUCGGAUUUACUGGGCGUAAAGCGCGCGUAGGUGGCCAAUUAAGUCAAAUGUGAAAUCCCCGAGUUUAACUUGGGAAUUGCAUUCGAUACUGGUUGGCUAGAGUAUGGGAGAGGAUGGUAGAAUUCCAGGUGUAGCGGUGAAAUGCGUAGAGAUCUGGAGGAAUACCGAUGGCGAAGGCAGCCAUCUGGCCUAAUACUGACACUGAGGUGCGAAAGCAUGGGGAGCAAACAGGAUUAGAAACCCUUGUAGUCC